UACGAAGGGUGCAAGCGUUAUUCGGAAUCAUUGGGCGUAAAGCGCGCGCAGGCGGAUUGAUAAGUCAGGUGUGAAAUCUCGGGGCUCAACCUCGAAACUGCGCCUGAAACUAUUAGUCUAGAGUGUCGGAGGGGGCAGGGGAAUUUCACGUGUAGGGGUAAAAUCCGUAGAGAUGUGAAGGAACACCGGAGGCGAAGGCGCCUGCCUGGACGACUACUGACGCUGAGGCGCGAAAGCGUGGGGAGCAAACAGG
This 253-nucleotide ribosomal RNA is filed under the name uncultured bacterium. RNAcentral's name for it is "partial 16S ribosomal RNA". It matches the Rfam family "Bacterial small subunit ribosomal RNA", at positions 524 to 776 of the family's 1533-position model. The record is from RNAcentral.